RNAcentral lists this long non-coding RNA (964 nucleotides) under Homo sapiens (human). RNAcentral describes it as "HSALNT0023279". Lineage: Eukaryota; Metazoa; Chordata; Mammalia; Primates; Hominidae. The record is from RNAcentral.
ACCAAACUCGAUGUCCUCGCUACAGCCACCCCACUUCCAGCCCUUGCCUGGUGGAGCUCCCUGCCAGGCUGAGAAAACCCUGGAGCAGGCCUUCAAUUCACUCGUGAAGACUGAAGACAAGAAGUCUCUGCAGAGAGGCUCAGAUCCCAGGACAGACACCCCCAUCCGAGGCUGAAGUAGAAGCUGCAGGCUGCAAGACCACAGGCCAGAAAAGCGUGAGACCCUAUGUUCUGGCAAAGAGAGCCUGCAUUAAAGUUGAAGCCACAAGGUCUCUAAGCGGUUCCGCAACUGCUCACAGUGUUUAUCAAGCACAAUGGGAAAAACCUUAACUGUGCACAGGAGAAGCCUGGCAGACACCACCUUAUUCUGGGGACUGAGUUAACCUUGCCUGAAAUGGGACACACAAUACCUUGUGGCUCCAGGGAUGAUGCAUGAAGGCCAAAUAUAGCCUUUGAGGUAUUCUCACCCAAAAUGCACAGCCUGCAUCUAAUUGUCGGGAGACAUCAGACCAACCCAAAUUGAUGGCUGUUCUGCAAAAUGCCUAAUUGUGCUCCUCAGAGGUCUCAGGGGCAUGAGGGACAGGGAAGAGUGGAGAAGCCAGAGGCAUGGCAUCACCAAAAGUAACAAGGGACCCAGGAGGGGGUUCUGGGACAGAAAAGGGAUCUUGAUAGAAAAACGAAGGAAAGCUGAGUGACGUCCAGAGUGUGGUGAAUAGAACACAUUUAGUUUUGAACAAUUGGCAUAGUUAUGCACCACUGGGUUGGACGAGGGGACCCAGGACUCUCAGUGCCACUCCUGCGAUGUUUAUGAAAGUCUGAAAUUAUUUCAAAAUAAAAAGUUAAACCUGGGCAACAUAGCAAGACCCCCUUUCUUAAAAAACAAACAAACAUAAAUGAGCUGGGCAUGGUGGUGUGCAUCUGUAGUCCUAGCUACUUGGGACGCUGAGGCAGGAGGAUUGCUUGAG